CUGAACUUAAGCAUAUCAGUAAGCGGAGGAAAAGAAACCAACAGGGAUUGCCCCAGUAACUGCGAGUGAAGCGGCAACAGCUCAAAUUUGAAAUCUGGCCUUCCCCCCCCUCGCUUCCCUCCCGGGGGGCGGGGGGGGUAGGGGCCCGAGUUGUAAUUUGAAGAGGAUGCUUCGGGCGCGGCGCCUUCCGAGUCCCCUGGAACGGGGCGCCACAGAGGGUGAGAGCCCCGUCUGGUCGGACGCCAAGCCCGCGAGAAGCUCCCUCGACGAGUCGAGUAGCUUGGGAAUGCUGCUCUAAGCGGGAGGUAAAUGCCUUCUAAAGCUAAAUAUCUGCCAGAGACCGAUAGCGCACAAGUAGGGUGACCGAAAGCUGAAAAGAACCUUGGAAAGAGGGUUAAAGAGCACGUGAAAUUGUUGAAAGGGAAGCGCCUGCGAGCCAGAACGCGGACGUGGCGGAUCAGCCGGCGCUCUGCGCCGGUCUAUUCCGCCGCGCCCGGGCCAGCGCCGGCUCCUGCGGGGGGACAGAGGUUCGGGGAACGUAGCUGCCUCGGCAGUGUUACAGCCCCGUUCGGACUGCGCCCGCGGGGGCCGAGGACCCGCGCCGUCACCGGCAAGGGCGCUGGCGUAAUGGGCGCAGGCGGCCCGUCUUGAAACACGGACCAAGGAGUCGAGGUCUGGCGCGAGUGUACGGGCGUAAAAAACCCUGACGCGGAAUGAAAGUGAACGCAGGUGGGAGCCUUUGGGCGCACCACUGACCGAUGCGCCGUGCUCGGACGGAUUUGAGUAGGAGCGCCAGGCCUCGGACCCGAAAGAUGGUGAACUAUGCUCGGAUAGGGUGAAGCCAGAGGAAACUCUGGUGGAGGCUCGCAGCGGUUCUGACGUGCAAAUCGAUCGUCAAAUCUGAGCAUGGGGGCGAAAGACCAAUCGAACCAUCUAGUAGCUGGUUACCGCCGAAGUUUCCCUCAGGAUAGCGGUGUUGGGCCUCGGUUUUAUGGGGUAGAGCGAAUGAUUAGGGACCCGGGGGCUGCUUCCAGCCUUCAUCCAUUCUCAAACUUCGAAUACGUAAGAAGCCCCCGUUUCUUGACUGAACGAGGGCCGUCGAACGUGCCAACACUAGUGGGCCAUUUUUGGUAAGCA
RNAcentral lists this ribosomal RNA (1137 nucleotides) under Helminthosphaeria hyphodermae. Its description in RNAcentral is "eukaryotic LSU rRNA". It matches the Rfam family "Eukaryotic large subunit ribosomal RNA", at positions 28 to 1146 of the family's 3401-position model. Lineage: Eukaryota; Fungi; Ascomycota; Sordariomycetes; Sordariales; Helminthosphaeriaceae. The record is from RNAcentral.